UGCGCGGCCGCUCCGCCCGCGGGCCCUUGCGUUAAGUCCCGUGUUGUGGGCCUGCCAUGGCCGCGGUGCGGGACGUGGAGAUCGACCCUGAUGGCACAUUUAAGUACAUCCUGGUGCGGCUACAGCGGCCUGGCGGUGGGGAACAGCGUGACAUCGUGCGGGGCACCAAGGCGGCCGAGUUCCACAAUCACAUCUUUGAGAAAGUAAAUCCUGAGAUGGAGAAGCUGGGAUACGAGUGCAAGUGCCUUGGAGGAGGGAAAAUUGAUCAUAAUAGCAAAGAGAAGAAAAUUAGGGUGUUUGGGAUGUCUACAUAUCUCUGGCUCUUCCAUCCCAGCUGCUUCUGUGACUCUUGCUGCCUGGAAUCAUGUGAAAAAACCCACAACCUUAGGAUUUGUGCUAGGAAGAGAAGACAUUGGAUAGUGCUUGCUCUACUCAAGUCUCCUGAUUGUGGAUGCCCAUUAUAAUUGCAUUCUUCAAUGAGGCUUUGGCACCUGUGUUAACCAAUUUAGCUGCCAAUUUAGUGUUAGAAGCAGCAGUCAGCUCAACUUACAGACGAGCACAAGGUGAAAGCAGAGUUUUACUGCCAGGAGGGCUUCUGUUGAGUAGAGACCUGGAGAUUUGAAAGACUUCAGCUGGCUAUGGAAAAGCAGAUCAUUCGGUGACUGUGGAGAUCCUGAAAAAAGUGUACACAGAUUAUGAAAUCACAUGGUCAGAUGACAAGAAAUAAACUGGCUACUUAUGAAUGUGACAAGCAGUUCAAAUCUGGAAGCUUUCAGUGAUUUGUGCUUCAAUAAAUACAAUUGAGUGUAUGUAUGUUAUCAUGAA
Molecule: RNA transcript, 825 nt
Organism: Coturnix japonica (Japanese quail)
Lineage: Eukaryota; Metazoa; Chordata; Aves; Galliformes; Phasianidae
Gene name: 14 kDa phosphohistidine phosphatase-like
Source: RefSeq, a predicted model, not a curated record